GAUGAAGAACGUAGCGAAAUGCGAUAAGUAAUGUGAAUUGCAGAAUUCAGUGAAUCAUCGAAUCUUUGAACGCACAUUGCGCCCGCCAGUAUUCUGGCGGGCAUGCCUGUCUGAGCGUCAUUUCACCACUCAAGCCUCGCUUGGUAUUGGGCAACGCGGUCCGCCGCGUGCUUCAAAUCGACCGGCUGGGUCUUCUGUCCCCUAAGCGUUGUGGAAACUAUUCGCUAAAGGGUGUUCGGGAGGCUACGCCGUAAAACAACCCCAUUUCUAAGGUUGACCUCGGAUCAGGUAGGGAUACCCGCUGAACUUAAGCAUAUCAAUAAGCGGAGGA
RNAcentral lists this unclassified non-coding RNA (331 nucleotides) under soil metagenome. Its description in RNAcentral is "partial contains 5.8S ribosomal RNA, internal transcribed spacer 2, and large subunit ribosomal RNA". The stretch from base 1 to 120 matches the Rfam family "5.8S ribosomal RNA", at positions 35 to 154 of the family's 154-position model. The record is from RNAcentral.